This 459-nucleotide ribosomal RNA is filed under the name uncultured bacterium. RNAcentral describes it as "partial 16S ribosomal RNA". It matches the Rfam family "Bacterial small subunit ribosomal RNA", at positions 338 to 795 of the family's 1533-position model. The record is from RNAcentral.
CCUACGGGUGGCUGCAGUGAGGAAUAUUGGUCAAUGGACGAGAGUCUGAACCAGCCAAGCAGCGUGAAGGAUGACUGCCCUAUGUGUUGUAAACUUCUUUUAUAAAGGAAUAAAACGAGGCACGUGUGCCUGUUUGCAUGUACUUUAUGAAUAAGGAUCGGCUAACUCCGUGCCAGCAGCCGCGGUAAUACGGAGGAUCCGAGCGUUAUCCGGAUUUAUUGGGUUUAAAGGGUGCGUAGGCGGAUCGUUAAGUCAGUGGUCAAAUUGAGGGGCUCAACCCCUUCCCGCCAUUGAAACUGGCGUGCUUGAGUGGAAGAGAAGUAUGCGGAAUGCGUGGUGUAGCGGUGAAAUGCAUAGAUAUCACGCAGAACCCCGAUUGCGAAGGCAGCAUGCCGGCUUCCGACUGACGCUGAAGCACGAAAGCGUGGGGAUCGAACAGGAUUAGAUACCCCUGUAGUC